This 254-nucleotide ribosomal RNA is filed under the name uncultured bacterium. RNAcentral's name for it is "partial 16S ribosomal RNA". It matches the Rfam family "Bacterial small subunit ribosomal RNA", at positions 524 to 776 of the family's 1533-position model. The record is from RNAcentral.
UACGUAGGGUGCAAGCGUUGUCCGGAAUUAUUGGGCGUAAAGAGCUCGUAGGCGGUCUGUCGCGUCGGCUGUGAAAACCCGGGGCUCAACCCCGGGCCUGCAGUCGAUACGGGCAGACUAGAGUGUGGUAGGGGAGAAUGGAACUCCUGGUGUAGCGGUGGAAAUGCGCAGAUAUCAGGAGAACACCGGUGGCGAAGGCGGGUCGCUGGCGGCGAAACUGACGCUGAGGAGCGAAAGCGUGGGGAGCGAACAGG